Molecule: ribosomal RNA, 1164 nt
Filed under: Thermococcus sp. AF1T6.63
Lineage: Archaea; Methanobacteriati; Methanobacteriota; Thermococci; Thermococcales; Thermococcaceae
Description: bacterial SSU rRNA
Rfam family: Archaeal small subunit ribosomal RNA
Source: RNAcentral
GUCGUCUUUUAGGUGACCUAUAGAAUACUCAAGCUAUGCAUCCAACGCGUUGGGAGCUCUCCCAUAUGGUCGACCUGCAGGCGGCCGCGAAUUCACUAGUGAUUUCCGGUUGAUCCUGCCGGAGGCCACUGCUAUGGGGGUCCGACUAAGCCAUGCGAGUCAUGGGGCGCCUUGCGCGCACCGGCGGACGGCUCAGUAACACGUCGGUAACCUACCCUCGGGAGGGGGAUAACCCCGGGAAACUGGGGCUAAUCCCCCAUAGGCCUGAGGUACUGGAAGGUCCUCAGGCCGAAAGGGUCUUUGACCGCCCGAGGAUGGGCCGGCGGCCGAUUAGGUAGUUGGUGGGGUAACGGCCCACCAAGCCGAAGAUCGGUACGGGCCAUGAGAGUGGGAGCCCGGAGAUGGACACUGAGACACGGGUCCAGGCCCUACGGGGCGCAGCAGGCGCGAAACCUCCGCAAUGCGGGCAACCGCGACGGGGGGACCCCCAGUGCCGUGGCAUCGCCACGGCUUUUCCGGAGUGUAAAGAGCUCCGGGAAUAAGGGCUGGGCAAGGCCGGUGGCAGCCGCCGCGGUAAUACCGGCGGCCCGAGUGGUGGCCGCUAUUAUUGGGCCUAAAGCGUCCGUAGCCGGGCCCGCAAGUCCCUGGCGAAAUCCCACGGCUCAACCGUGGGGCUUGCUGGGGAUACUGCGGGCCUUGGGACCGGGAGAGGCGGAGGGUACUUCUGGGGUAGGGGUGAAAUCCUAUAAUCCCAGGAGGACCGCCAGUGGCGAAGGCGCUCCGCUGGAACGGGUCCGACGGUGAGGGACGAAGGCCAGGGGAGCGAACCGGAUUAGAUACUCGGGUAGUCCUGGCUGUAAAGGAUGCGGGCUAGGUGUCGGGCGAGCUUCGUGCUCGCUCGGUGUCGAAGGGAAGCCUGUUAAGUCUGUCGCCUGGGGAGUACGGUCUGCAAGGCUGAAACUUAAAGGAAUUGGCGGGGGAGCACUACAAGGGGUGGAGCGUGCGGGUUUAAUUGGAUUCAACGUCGGGAAUCUCAUCUGGGGGCGACGGCAGGAUGAAGUCAGCUGAUGUCUUGCUGGACUACUGCUGGAGAGUGCAUGUCGUUCGUCAGCUUGUACCGGUGAAGGCGAUCCACUUAAGGUGUGUAACGGAGGCCGUGAGUAU